RNAcentral lists this ribosomal RNA (1410 nucleotides) under human gut metagenome. Its description in RNAcentral is "bacterial LSU rRNA". It matches the Rfam family "Bacterial large subunit ribosomal RNA", at positions 1101 to 2524 of the family's 2925-position model. The record is from RNAcentral.
UUGGCUUAGAAGCAGCCACUCAUUUAAAGAGUGCGUAAUAGCUCACUGGUCGAGUAUCGGUGCGCCGAAGAUUAUCGGGGCUAAAACUUGUCACCGAAGUUUAGGGAUAUGCGAUUGCAUAUCGGUAGAGGAGCAAUGUGUACGGGCAGAAGCUGUAUCGAAAGGGGCAGUGGACUGUACACAAGAGAGAAUGCCGGCAUAAGUAGCGAGAGCAAAGUGAGAAACUUUGCCGUCGAAAGCCUUAGGUUUCCUGGGGAAGGUUCGUCCUCCCAGGGUAAGUCGGGACCUAAGCCGAGGCCGAAAGGCGUAGGUGAUGGACAACAGGUAGAUAUUCCUGUACCACCGACAGUCGUCUAAAUGAAGCAAUGACACAGAAGGAUAGUCAAACCGCGUUGAUGGAUAUAUGCGGCCAAAUCAUUAGGCUUAUGUGUAGUGAAGUACGCACAUAGUUAAGGCUGAGUGAUGAUGGGGAGUGAAAACUAGUAAUGAAGUUGAUGAUUCCACGCUGGCGAGAAAAGUUGCUAAAUAUGACUGAAGGUGCCCGUACCGCAAACCGACACAGGUAGGUGAGGAGAAAAUCCUAAGACGAGCGGGAUAACCCAUGUUAAGGAACUCUGCAAAAUCACCCCGUAACUUAGGGAGAAGGGGUACCACGCAAGUGGUCGCAGUGAAGAGGCCCAAGCGACUGUUUACCAAAAACACAGGUCUCUGCUAAAUCGUAAGAUGAAGUAUAGGGGCUGACGCCUGCCCAGUGCUGGAAGGUUAAGGGGAUGUGUUAGCGCAAGCGAAGCACGGAACUUAAGCCCCAGUGAACGGCGGCCGUAACUAUAACGGUCCUAAGGUAGCGAAAUUCCUUGUCAGGUAAGUUCUGACCCGCACGAAUGGCGUAACGAUUUGGGCGCUGUCUCAACAUGGGACCCGGCGAAAUUGUAGUAUACGUGAAGAUGCGUAUUACCCGCGACUGGACGGAAAGACCCCGUAGAGCUUUACUGUAGUCUGAUAUUGGAUUUCGGUGAUUUAUGUACAGGAUAGGUGGGAGACUUUGAAGCAUAGGCGUCAGCUUAUGUGGAGUCAACCUUGGGAUACCACCCUUAAAUUAUUGAGGUUCUAACUUUGUGCCGUAAUCCGGGCAGAGAACAGUGUCAGAUGGGCAGUUUGACUGGGGCGGUCGCCUCCUAAAAUGUAACGGAGGCGUCCAAAGGUUCCCUCAGGAUGGUUGGAAAUCAUCCAAAGAGUAUAAAGGCAGAAGGGAGCUUAACUGCGAGACAGACAUGUCGAGCAGAUACGAAAGUAGGGCUUAGUGAUCCGGCGGUAGAGUAUGGAAUUGCCGUCGCUUAACGGAUAAAAGUUACCUCGGGGAUAACAGGCUUAUCUCCCCCAAGAGUUCACAUCGACGGGGAGGUUUGGCAC